AACGCUAGCUACAGGCUUAACACAUGCAAGUCGAGGGGUAACAAGAGAAAAGCUUGCUUUUCUUGUUGACGACCGGCGCACGGGUGAGUAACGCGUAUCUAACCUGCCUAUAACUAGGGAAUAACCUUGCGAAAGUAAGACUAAUACCCUAUGAUUUCCUUUGAUGACAUCAGAUUAGGAAUAAAGAUUUAUCGGUUAUAGAUGGGGAUGCGUCUGAUUAGCUUAUUGGCGGGGUAACGGCCCACCAAGGCAACGAUCAGUAGGGGUUCUGAGAGGAAGGUCCCCCACAUUGGAACUGAGACACGGUCCAAACUCCUACGGGAGGCAGCAGUGAGGAAUAUUGGUCAAUGGGCGGAAGCCUGAACCAGCCAAGUAGCGUGCAGGAUGACGGCCCUAUGGGUUGUAAACUGCUUUUAUACAGGAAUAAAGUUAGCCACGUGUGGUUAUUUGUAGGUACUGUAUGAAUAAGGACCGGCUAAUUCCGUGCCAGCAGCCGCGGUAAUACGGAAGGUCCAGGCGUUAUCCGGAUUUAUUGGGUUUAAAGGGAGCGUAGGCCGUCUGUUAAGCGUGUUGUGAAAUGUAGAUGCUCAACAUCUGAAUUGCAGCGCGAACUGGCAGACUUGAGUGUGCGCAACGUAGGCGGAAUUCGUGGUGUAGCGGUGAAAUGCUUAGAUAUCACGAAGAACUCCGAUUG
This 694-nucleotide ribosomal RNA is filed under the name uncultured bacterium. RNAcentral's name for it is "bacterial SSU rRNA". It matches the Rfam family "Bacterial small subunit ribosomal RNA", at positions 32 to 715 of the family's 1533-position model. The record is from RNAcentral.